UACGAAGGCAGCAGUGGGGAAUAUUGCACAAUGGGCGCAAGCCUGAUGCAGCCAUGCCGCGUGUAUGAAAAAGGCCUUCGGGUUGUAAAGUACUUUCAGUCGUGAGGAAGGUGUUAAGGUUAAUAACCUUAGCAAUUGACGUUAGCGACAGAAGAAGCACCGGCUAACUCCGUGCCGGCAGCCGCGGUAAUACGGAGGGUGCGAGCGUUAAUCGGAAUUACUGGGCGUAAAGGGCACGCAGGCGGUUAAUUAAGUUGGAUGUGAAAUCCCCGGGCUUAACCUGGGAAUGGCAUUCAAGACUGGUUAGCUAGAGUCUUGUAGAGGGGGUAGAAUUCCAUGUGUAGCGGUGAAAUGCGUAGAGAUGUGGAGGAAUACCGGUGGCGAAGGCGGCCCCUGGACAAAGACUGACGCUCAUGUGCGAAAGCGUGGGGAGCAAACAGGGAUUAGAUACC
Molecule: ribosomal RNA, 452 nt
Filed under: uncultured bacterium
Lineage: Bacteria
Description: bacterial SSU rRNA
Rfam family: Bacterial small subunit ribosomal RNA
Source: RNAcentral